GUGUCAGCAGCCGCGGUAAGACAGAGGGUGCAAACGUUGCUCGGAAUCACUGGGCGUAAAGGGCGUGUAGGCGGGAAGGAAAGUCAGAUGUGAAAUCCCCAGGCUCAACCUGGGAACUGCAUUUGAAACUCCCUUUCUUGAGUACCGGAGAGGAAAGUGGAAUUCCUGGUGUAGAGGUGAAAUUCGUAGAUAUCAGGAGGAACACCAGUGGCGAAGGCGGCUUUCUGGACGGUAACUGACGCUGAGACGCGAAAGCGUGGGGAGCAAACAGGAUUAGAAACCCGCGUAGUCC
RNAcentral lists this ribosomal RNA (292 nucleotides) under uncultured bacterium. RNAcentral's name for it is "partial 16S ribosomal RNA". It matches the Rfam family "Bacterial small subunit ribosomal RNA", at positions 505 to 796 of the family's 1533-position model. The record is from RNAcentral.